UACGUAGGUGGCAAGCGUUGUCCGGAUUUAUUGGGCGUAAAGCGAGCGCAGGUGGUUUCUUAAGUCUGAUGUGAAAGCCCCCGGCUCAACCGGGGAGGGUCAUUGGAAACUGGGAGACUUGAGUGCAGAAGAGGAAAGUGGAAUUCCAUGUGUAGCGGUGAAAUGCGUAGAUAUAUGGAGGAACACCAGUGGCGAAGGCGACUUUCUGGUCUGUAACUGACACUGAGGCUCGAAAGCGUGGGGAGCAAACAGG
RNAcentral lists this ribosomal RNA (253 nucleotides) under uncultured bacterium. RNAcentral's name for it is "partial 16S ribosomal RNA". It matches the Rfam family "Bacterial small subunit ribosomal RNA", at positions 524 to 776 of the family's 1533-position model. The record is from RNAcentral.